Molecule: ribosomal RNA, 311 nt
Filed under: uncultured bacterium
Lineage: Bacteria
Description: bacterial SSU rRNA
Rfam family: Bacterial small subunit ribosomal RNA
Source: RNAcentral
GACGAACGCUGGCGGCGUGCUUAACACAUGCAAGUCGAGCGGUAAGGCCCUUUCGGGGUACGACGAGCGGCGAACGGGUGAGUAACACGUGGGUGACCUGCCCUCCAGCUCUGGGAGUAAGCCUGGGAAACCGGGUACUAAUACCGGAUAUGACUCCAUGACGCAUGUUGUGGGGUGGAAAGCCUUGUGCGGCUGAGGAUGGGCCCGCGGCCUAUCAGCUUGUUGGUGGGGUGAUGGCCUACCAAGGCGACGACGGGUAGCCGGCCUGAGAGGGCGACCGGCCACACUGGGACUGAGACACGGCCCAGACU